GAUAACCUACCUAUAAGACUGGGAUAACUUCGGGAAACCGGAGCUAAUACCGGAUAAUAUUUUGAACCGCAUGGUUCAAAAGUGAAAGACGGUCUUGCUGUCACUUAUAGAUGGAUCCGCGUUGCAUUAGCUAGUUGGUAAGGUAACGGCUUACCAAGGCAACGAUGCAUAGCCGACCUGAGAGGGUGAUCGGCCACACUGGAACUGAGACACGGUCCAGACUCCUACGGGAGGCAGCAGUAGGGAAUCUUCCGCAAUGGGCGAAAGCCUGACGGAGCAACGCCGCGUGAGUGAUGAAGGUCUUCGGAUCGUAAAACUCUGUUAUUAGGGAAGAACAUAUGUGUAAGUAACUGUGCACAUCUUGACGGUACCUAAUCAGAAAGCCACGGCUAACUACGUGCCAGCAGCCGCGGUAAUACGUAGGUGGCAAGCGUUAUCCGGAAUUAUUGGGCGUAAAGCGCGCGUAGGCGGUUUUUUAAGUCUGAUGUGAAAGCCCACGGCUCAACCGUGGAGGGUCAUUGGAAACUGGAAAACUUGAGUGCAGAAGAGGAAAGUGGAAUUCCAUGUGUAGCGGUGAAAUGCGCAGAGAUAUGGAGGAACACCAGUGGCGAAGGCGACUUUCUGGUCUGUAACUGACGCUGAUGUGCGAAAGCGUGGGGAUCAAACAGGAUUAGAUACCCUGGUAGUCCACGCCGUAAACGAUGAGUGCUAAGUGUUAGGGGGUUUCCGCCCCUUAGUGCUGCAGCUAACGCAUUAAGCACUC
Molecule: ribosomal RNA, 763 nt
Filed under: uncultured Staphylococcus sp.
Lineage: Bacteria; Bacillati; Bacillota; Bacilli; Caryophanales; Staphylococcaceae
Description: bacterial SSU rRNA
Rfam family: Bacterial small subunit ribosomal RNA
Source: RNAcentral